GCGAAAGUAGCUCAAUUGGUAGAGCUCCAGCCUUCCAAGCUGGAGGUUGCGGGUUCGAGACCCGUCUUUCGCU
RNAcentral lists this transfer RNA (73 nucleotides) under Bacteroidota bacterium. Its description in RNAcentral is "Bacteroidetes bacterium (activated sludge metagenome) tRNA-Gly". It matches the Rfam family "tRNA". Rfam says of the family: Transfer RNA (tRNA) molecules are approximately 80 nucleotides in length. Their secondary structure includes four short double-helical elements and three loops (D, anti-codon, and T loops). RNAcentral also lists the same sequence under 4 other names. The record is from RNAcentral. Lineage: Bacteria; Pseudomonadati; Bacteroidota.